GCUUGUCUCAAAGAUUAAGCCAUGCAUGUCUUAGUGUAAAUAACUCUUAUGAAACUGCGAAUGGCUCAUUAAAUCAGUUAUCGUUUAUUUGAUGGUCCCUUACUACAUGGAUAACCGUAGUAAUUCUAGAGCUAAUACAUGCACAAAGGCCCGACUCACGAAGGGCUGUAUUUAUUAGAUACAAACCAACAUCGUGGUGAUUCAUAAUAACUUUGCGAAUCGUAUGCCUCACGGCGACGAUGAAUCAUUCAAAUUUCUGCCCUAUCAACUUUCGAUGGUAGGAUAUGGGCCUACCAUGGCAUUAACGGGUAACGGGGAAUUAGGGUUUGAUUCCGGAGAGGGAGCCUUAGAAACGGCUACCACAUCCAAGGAAGGCAGCAGG
Molecule: ribosomal RNA, 382 nt
Filed under: uncultured Katablepharidophyta
Lineage: Eukaryota; Cryptophyceae; Kathablepharidacea
Description: partial small subunit ribosomal RNA
Rfam family: Eukaryotic small subunit ribosomal RNA
Source: RNAcentral